UACGUAGGAGGCGAGCGUUGUCCGGAUUUACUGGGCGUAAAGCGCGUGUAGGCGGUACGAUAAGUCUGCUGUGAAAGCGCUCGGCUUAACCGGGCGAGGUCGGUGGAUACUGUCGCACUUGAGGACGGUAGAGGGGGGUGGAAUUCCCGGUGUAGUGGUGAAAUGCGUAGAGAUCGGGAGGAACACCAGUGGCGAAGGCGGCCCCCUGGGCCGCUCCUGACGCUGAGACGCGAAAGCGUGGGGAGCGAACAGG
This 253-nucleotide ribosomal RNA is filed under the name uncultured bacterium. RNAcentral describes it as "partial 16S ribosomal RNA". It matches the Rfam family "Bacterial small subunit ribosomal RNA", at positions 524 to 776 of the family's 1533-position model. The record is from RNAcentral.